CCUACGGGUGGCUGCAGUGGGGAAUAUUGGACAAUGGGGGGAACCCUGAUCCAGCCAUGCCGCGUGUGUGAAGAAGGCCCUCGGGUUGUAAAGCACUUUCAGUGAGGAAGAACGCCUGGUGGUUAAUACCCAUCAGGAAAGACAUCACUCACAGAAGAAGCACCGGCUAACUCCGUGCCAGCAGCCGCAGGUAAUACGGAGGGUGCGAGCGUUAAUCGGAAUUACUGGGCGUAAAGCGCGCGUAGGUGGCUUGAUAAGCCGGUUGUGAAAGCCCCGGGCUCAACCUGGGAACGGCAUCCGGAACUGUCAAGCUAGUGUGCAGGAGAGGAAGGUAGAAUUCCCGGUGUAGCGGUGAAAUGCGUAGAGAUCGGGAGGAAUACCAGUGGCGAAGGCGGCCUUCUGGACUGACACUGACACUGAGGUGCGAAAGCGUGGGUAGCAAACAGGAUUAGAUACCCGAGUAGUC
RNAcentral lists this ribosomal RNA (466 nucleotides) under Vreelandella stevensii. RNAcentral describes it as "partial 16S ribosomal RNA". It matches the Rfam family "Bacterial small subunit ribosomal RNA", at positions 338 to 795 of the family's 1533-position model. Lineage: Bacteria; Pseudomonadati; Pseudomonadota; Gammaproteobacteria; Oceanospirillales; Halomonadaceae. The record is from RNAcentral.